This 253-nucleotide ribosomal RNA is filed under the name uncultured bacterium. Its description in RNAcentral is "partial 16S ribosomal RNA". It matches the Rfam family "Bacterial small subunit ribosomal RNA", at positions 524 to 776 of the family's 1533-position model. The record is from RNAcentral.
UACGAAGGGGGCUAGCGUUGCUCGGAAUCACUGGGCGUAAAGCGCACGUAGGCGGCUUUCUAAGUCAGGGGUGAAAUCCUGGAGCUCAACUCCAGAACUGCCUUUGAUACUGGAAAGCUUGAGUUCGGGAGAGGUGAGUGGAACUGCGAGUGUAGAGGUGAAAUUCGUAGAUAUUCGCAAGAACACCAGUGGCGAAGGCGGCUCACUGGCCCGAUACUGACGCUGAGGUGCGAAAGCGUGGAGAGCAAACAGG